AUUCACGUCACUUUCAGAGGGGGGGCCACACGGUUUUGGACACUUCUUUUUCUCCAAGCAAUUACUCCAUUUUCAUGGACAAAAACACAGAAAUAGAGUGAGAGGGACGGGAAUAAUAGUGAGAGGGCUCACCCAUCUUCUUCUCCAAAAAAUCCGCCGCCACCCUCCACCAGCGAGUUUAGCCGGGAAAUCCGGCAACCACACCCCUCCAUUUCCUCUGUUGUCCACCACCACCUAGCAACAACGACCCAUCUCCCUUACUCUAAAAACAACCAGCAGCCACACACCACCAAACCAACCGGACCUCUUCUGUAGAAAACAUCCAUGCUCACUUUCUCUCUCUAUCUAGUCUCCAAUUUGUCAAUCAUCACUCUUCUCCUUUUCUAAUUUCUUCAGAAAUAUCAGCUAAAUUGGAAAAAAUCGGCUGCUAGAAUGCUUCUUCGGUUAAGCUCGCCAUAAAUGUGAAACCUCUGUUCUAUCUCGUGCUUCCUACUCCUCUGCUGCUUAGUUGCAUUUGUUUCUGCUCAAAUAUCUAACAAUGCUACCUCUAAAUGGCUUACACUGAGCGAUCUCGCUUGAGGUUGAGUCCAGUUGGGGAUUUUCAUUUUUGUCGCGAUUUCCAAUCCGAUCAACGGUUCAAGCUUCGUUUCAUCUGUUCAUGUUGGGAUUUGUUCAAAUUUUGAUCGGAAAUCUGUGUAUAUGUUUCAAAGUAUCAAGGGAGUUUUCACUACUUGAAGGUUUAUCCCUCCCUCUGUUCUUACUUAAUCCAAAUUGCUAUCAUGUGCUAUCCUACGUUUGUUUGCACGCCAUGUUUAAAUUGUUGCUUUGUGACUGGUUUUUGAUUUCUCCCUUUUAGAUCCAUUUGAUUUGAAUCUUUGAUUGAGCUUUUAAUAAAAGACAAGUUGUGAAUUUUUUCUUGUGAAUACAUAUGGACAUGUAAGUUGAAUAGGGAUAGUGGAUGUCCGUAGAGAGGCAAUUGUGAUUAAAUAGGAUUAGGACGUGGCGGUUUGAUCAGAAAUUGAGAGAAUUGGGUUUAAGAGAAUUAGACAAUAAGAUGUCAUGCUUUAUUGUUAUUUCGCUAUUACUAGAUACUCGCUGAACGCUAGGAGUAUGCUAGGCCGACCACACUUGGGUAGGCAAGCCUUAGGAUUUUUGUUAGUCUUGAUGUGAGAGGUCGUUCCCUUAGUUAACUUUAUCCGGGGAAUACCCCGAGGGAUUUGUAGAUAUUUUGUUCUGGGGAAUGCCCCGAAGAACUUUGUAAAUAUUUGGAGGCCUUGAUGAGCAUUGUGAAUAAGUCAUAAUAUAUACUAGUUUAGGAUUUUUCCUUUCUUUUCUUUUCAUUUUCUCUUAUUAGGUGAGGACAGCCUCGAGCCUUUUGUGUGUGUUUAUUUUUCCAUUUCUGUGUUUAUUAUGUUAAUUCGAAUAUUUUAAAAGCCCACUAGAUCGAGUACGCAACCGUACUAGUUACGGGACUUGGGGAAUGCCUAAAACCUUCCCCCCCGAGUCAAAUGAACCCCCUUACCUGAGUCUCUAAUGUAGACUUAGUUUUGGAGUCCAAAGUGUUUUAAAAGGAAAUCAUUUUAAAAACGGUGACCUGGCACAUCGAAACCAAUGUCAGGAUAUGAUUUGACUCAUAUUCUGAUUGAAGGCAUGUUGUGCUUACUGAGUUUAUCAUGAUGUGGAUUUAUUUGUUUCUUACUGCUCAAUCUCUAUUCACGUUUAUUACUUACUGAGUUGGCGUACUCACAUUACUCCCUGUACCUUGUGUACAGAUCCAGGUAUUUCUAAACCUAGUAGCGGGUGUUGAUUAUUCAGUGGCAGGUCCAUCGGAGUUAGCAAGGUAGCUUCCUGGAAAUCGCAACCCUGCUUCUCUCCCUCCUUAUCCUCCCUUAGGUGUAAUUAGUUAUUUCUAGGCUAUGUUAGUCUUGUUAUUGUUAGACGGUUGUAGUAGAUGCUCAUGACUAGUGACACCCUGAUGUCGGGCUUUCUUUCCACACUGUUGUUUUGAUUUAAACAUGUUAUGAAGGUUUAUUGUUAAAUAGCUUUGAUUUUAUCUUUAAAAUGAAAAUAUUGAUUGGUUUUUGGAAAUGUGCAGCUUGCCUAGUACCACGUUGCCAUCACGACCGGGUUGGUUUUUGGGUCGUGACAUUAAAGUAGGUGUGUAAUGUUGAAUAUGACUUGUGUACAAAAUUUAGGGUCAAUCGGACAUGAUUUGAUAGGUUUCGGCAUCGGUUGUAGAAAUUUGAAGUUUCAAGUAUUUUAAGUUUUAAUUGGAGGGUGAUUCGUG
This 2287-nucleotide long non-coding RNA is filed under the name Nicotiana tabacum (common tobacco). RNAcentral's name for it is "long non-coding RNA (NTAB_LNC004770)". The record is from RNAcentral. Lineage: Eukaryota; Viridiplantae; Streptophyta; Magnoliopsida; Solanales; Solanaceae.